RNAcentral lists this ribosomal RNA (393 nucleotides) under uncultured bacterium. RNAcentral describes it as "bacterial SSU rRNA". It matches the Rfam family "Bacterial small subunit ribosomal RNA", at positions 29 to 405 of the family's 1533-position model. The record is from RNAcentral.
AACGAACGCUGGCGGCGUGCCUAACACAUGCAAGUCGUGCGGGAAAGUGGGGGUAACUCCAUGAGUACAGCGGCGCACGGGUGAGUAACACGUAGGUAACCUGCCUUCGAGACUGGGAUAACCUGUCGAAAGACGGGCUAAUACCAGAUAAGACCACGGCAGCUUCGGCUGCUGCGGCAAAAGGUGGCCUCUGCUUGCAAGCUAUCACUCGAAGAUGGGCCUGCGCGCCAUUAGCUAGUUGGUGGGGUAACGGCCCACCAAGGCAAAGAUGGCUAGCUGGUCUGAGAGGAUGGCCAGCCACACUGGGACUGAGACACGGUCCAGACUCCUACGGGAGCAGCAGUGGGAAUUUUGCGCAAUGGGCGAAAGCCUGACGCAGCAACGCCGCGUGGA